UAUAUAGCUCUUGCGGUUCCUGUUCCUGCCACUCCUAUGGGGAGGAGUCUAUCUUUCCGUCACGUCCCGUGAUCUUCCGGUCGCUGAUCCCUGUCUAUUCCCCUACAAACUGGAAUACCUCUUGAGCUGAGAUAAGAUCCCUCAGAUGUACCAAAUGCCAGAUUAAUUAUUUAUGGGGCUGCUGUCUCCCUGAAGGGAAGAAAUGUCCAAACUGAAGAAGGAGGCAGAGAAAAGGUUCAGCUGGCUUCUUGGAUCAGCUUUACGGCCGUUUUGCAACGCCAGGCUGCUGCAGAAAGGGGAACCGUGGAGCCAAGAAUUUGGCCUCUGGAUUUCAGUGAUAUUAACACCCAGAAAGAAUUCCUGGGAAGGACCACUUCCAUAGCAAACUGGAGCCAU
This is a non-coding RNA of Phalacrocorax carbo (great cormorant), 396 nucleotides long. NCBI's taxonomy places the organism in Eukaryota, Metazoa, Chordata, Aves, Suliformes, Phalacrocoracidae. The record is from RefSeq and is a predicted model, not a curated record.